This 222-nucleotide ribosomal RNA is filed under the name uncultured bacterium. RNAcentral's name for it is "partial 16S ribosomal RNA". It matches the Rfam family "Bacterial small subunit ribosomal RNA", at positions 109 to 334 of the family's 1533-position model. The record is from RNAcentral.
AGUAAUGUAUCGGAACGUGCCCAGUCGUGGGGGAUAACUGCUCGAAAGAGCAGCUAAUACCGCAUACGACCUGAGGGUGAAAGCGGGGGAUCGCAAGACCUCGCGCGAUUGGAGCGGCCGAUAUCAGAUUAGGUAGUUGGUGAGGUAAAGGCUCACCAAGCCGACGAUCCGUAGCUGGUCUGAGAGGACGACCAGCCACACUGGGACUGAGACACGGCCCAG